This 911-nucleotide ribosomal RNA is filed under the name human gut metagenome. RNAcentral describes it as "bacterial SSU rRNA". It matches the Rfam family "Bacterial small subunit ribosomal RNA", at positions 8 to 906 of the family's 1533-position model. The record is from RNAcentral.
AGAGUUUGAUCCUGGCUCAGGAUGAACGCUAGCUACAGGCCUAACACAUGCAAGUCGAGGGGCAUCGCGUGCCGGAUUUCGGUCCGGCGCGGCGGCGACCGGCGCACGGGUGAGUAACGCGUACCCUACCUUCCCCUUUCCCGGGGCCAGCCCUGCGAAAGCAGGAUUAAUCCCCGGCGGUGUCCCGGGUCCGCAUGGGUGCGGGACCAAAGGAGCGAUCCGGAAAGGGAUGGGGGUGCGUUCCAUUAGCUUGACGGCGGGGUAACGGCCCACCGUGGCCGCGAUGGAUAGGGGUUCUGAGAGGAAGGCCCCCCACACUGGGACUGAGACACGGCCCAGACUCCUACGGGAGGCAGCAGUGAGGAAUAUUGGUCAAUGGGCGAUAGCCUGAACCAGCCAAGUAGCGUGGAGGACGACGGCCCUACGGGUUGUAAACUCCUUUUGCGCGGGGAUAAAGUGCUCCACGUGUGGGGCUUUGCAGGUACCGCGCGAAUAAGCAUCGGCUAACUCCGUGCCAGCAGCCGCGGUAAUACGGAGGAUGCAGGCGUUAUCCGGAUUCAUUGGGCUUAAAGGGAGCGCAGACGGUCCCGUAAGCCGGCCGUGAAAUUCCGGGGCCCAACCCCGGCACAGCGGCGCGAACUGUCGGGACUUGAGUGCGGCCGAGGCGGGCGGAAUUCGUGGUGUAGCGGUGAAAUGCUUAGAUAUCACGAAGAACUCCGAUUGCGAAGGCAGCCCGCCAGCCCGCUACUGACGUUGAGGCUCGAAGGUGCGGGUAUCGAACAGGAUUAGAUACCCUGGUAGUCCGCACGGUAAACGAUGGACACCCGCCGUGGGCGACAUACAGUCCGCGGCCAAGCGAAAGCGUUAAGUGUCCCGCCUGGGGAGUACGCCGGCAACGGUGAAACUCAAAG